Periophthalmus magnuspinnatus is the source of this 254-nucleotide long non-coding RNA. RefSeq lists it as uncharacterized. The record is from RefSeq and is a predicted model, not a curated record. Lineage: Eukaryota; Metazoa; Chordata; Actinopteri; Gobiiformes; Gobiidae. The transcript is spliced from 4 exons.
CAGAGCUCCAGGACAGGACGGCCCGCCCGGGCCCAUGGGCCCUCCCGGACUCCCUGGUCUCAAAGGCGACCCCGGCUCUAAAGGAGAAAAGGGUCAUCCAGGUCUGAUUGGUUUGAUCGGGCCGCCCGGCGAGCAGGGAGAGAAGGGAGACCGCGGUUUGCCUGGACCUCAAGGAUCCCCCGGUGGAAAAGGAGACAAUGGCAUCGCUGGUGCGUCCGGGCCCCUCGGGCCCCCUGGUCCUCCUGGUUUACCUG